CCUACGGGUGGCAGCAGUGGGGGAUAUUGGACAAUGGGGGGAACUCUGAUCCAGCGACGCCGCGUGAGUGAAGAAGUAUUUCGGUAUGUAAAGCUCUGUCAGCAGGGAAGAAAGCAAUGACGGUACCUGACCAAGAAGCCCCGGCUAACUACGUGCCAGCAGCCGCGGUAAUACGUAGGGGGCAAGCGUGAUCCGGAAUUACUGGGGGUAAAGGGAGCGUAGACGGGUGUGCAAGUCUGGAGUGAAAGGCGGGGGCCCAACCCCCGGACUGCACUGGAAACUGGAUGGCUGGAGUGCAGGAGAGGUAAGCGGAAUGCAUGGUGGAGCGGUGAAAUGCGUAGAUAGUAGGAGGAACACCAGGGGCGAAGGCGGCUUACUGGACUGUAACUGACGUUGAGGCUCGAAAGCGUGGGGAGCAAACAGGAUUAGAGACCCGAGUAGUC
RNAcentral lists this ribosomal RNA (443 nucleotides) under uncultured bacterium. RNAcentral describes it as "partial 16S ribosomal RNA". It matches the Rfam family "Bacterial small subunit ribosomal RNA", at positions 338 to 795 of the family's 1533-position model. The record is from RNAcentral.